This 552-nucleotide long non-coding RNA is filed under the name Prunus dulcis (almond). RNAcentral describes it as "sRNA ncRNA". The record is from RNAcentral. Lineage: Eukaryota; Viridiplantae; Streptophyta; Magnoliopsida; Rosales; Rosaceae.
CGCCUUUUGUGUGGGUCAAAACUUUCACGACAAGAAUUUUCGCUGCCUUAGGACCCUUAUAGUUAUAGGAGCCAUUUAUUACCGCAAAAGCUAAGGCUCAUCCGUCAGUCUAAUUGUCAAGUCGAUCUUUGGUUUUGAAAUACUACCUGAUCGAUGGACUUAUUUUUUGCUUAAUAUUAGAUCGAUGUCAUCACGUGAAUCGAAAUACGUACAACGAUUAAGAAUGUUUUUAAAAACAAAACUCUAGCUAGCAAGCUAGGUAUAGCAGGAGAGAGAUGAAAUAUUGCUCGGAUAACCGAUAGCAGCUGCAGCAAACAAUUAAAGUACAUUUUCUGCAUUGUAUUUGAACAACAGAAAAAAGUUCUAGAUGAUGUUUAAAAAAGAAGAGAGGAGAUUUACCCGAUUGUAGCCGAGAUUAGAGAGUUGAUGAGGUACUUUAAUCAUCUGGGUUUGAGUCUAGUCACUUAAUCAGGCUCAAUACAAGCAAAGCUAGCCACUACUGACUUGAGUGCUGCUGUGACCAGUCACCAGUCCAUCGGUCGAAAGGGUUGC